Molecule: RNA transcript, 2494 nt
Organism: Solanum tuberosum (potato)
Lineage: Eukaryota; Viridiplantae; Streptophyta; Magnoliopsida; Solanales; Solanaceae
Gene name: protein ROOT PRIMORDIUM DEFECTIVE 1
Exons: 3
Source: RefSeq, a predicted model, not a curated record
GUCCGGCCCAUUAAAACAGUUUCUUAGGCUUCCUCAGCUCUGCCACUUUGCUUGUAGCCUGCCGCAAAAUCUGCCCGUGACCGGUUCUUUUGCUUUUCAGUAGAUAAACGUAUGGGUUGUUCAGCCAUUGCCAUAGUUCAAGCUCAUCAAUAACAAGGAUAGGUGCAAAAAGGCGAGGGAGCCAGUAUAAUAUAGUGGCGUCUAAAAUGUCCAGAUGUUCAGUAAAGUGUGCAUUAACCAGCUAUCUGUUGAGAGUGUUAGCUUGCCGCAAACAGCAAAGAUGAUUGAUGCUUUCUCGCUCGUCUAAACUGCAUAUUCUUCUUAGUUUUGGGCUCAGAGCACGGGCCAACAGCAAGGUAUAUAUAACUCAGUGUGUUUAUUUUCUAGUGAAUAUCAAUCUGCAGCCUCUCGCAAGAUCUGAAAAGCCACAGUCGAACAGCACAGAAACACAUACAGUCGUUGAUGGCAAUGAUCGCCAGGAGAAGCAAGAGCUCUGUACCUCUCUUGCAUGAAGUCCUCUUUUCCGACCACCCUCUUCCCUGCUCAUACACCCAGCGGCAGACCUAUGUAGAUGUGUACAUGAAAUGGAAGAAAGACUCUUUUUUUGACUCCAUUGAUACUAUUCACAGAUCAGUUCAACUCAAGCCUUUAAUUGCUCUUAAGAACUGCAUAGUCUCCUCUUCACCUAAUGAUUAUUGCAUCCCCAUUUCUGUUAUUUCGAAAAAAGGCUUAGAGUUAGGGAUACCCAUUAAGGUUGCCAGGUUCUUAAGGUUGUAUCCAUCUGUUUUUGAGGAAUUUACUGGCCCUAACUACAAUUUGCCUUGGUUUAAGUUGACCCAGAGGGCUAUUGAGCUUGAUAGAGAGGAGAGAGAGGUCUACUUAAAAUUUAAGGAUGAUAUCAUUUUGAGGCUGAAGAAGUUGAUACUGAUGAGUGGCAGGGAACAGAUGCUUCCUCUAAAGAUAAUUCAGGGUCUGCAAUGGUAUUUGGGGUUACCCGACGAAUUCUUAAGGAAACCGGAAGACAAUCUUGAUGGGUGUUUCAGAGUUGUGGAAAUAGAAGAUGGAUUGAAAGGGCUGGCUGUUAAGGUUGAUGGAAGUGAAAGGUUUUUAUCAGUGAUGCAGAUGAAUGCGAUGAAGAGGGGAGUGUAUAGUGGUGUGGACGGUGAGGCAAUAGAAUUUCCACUGUAUCCAUCAAAGGGAUUGAGGCUUAAAAGAAAAAUUGCAGACUGGUUUGAUGAGUUUCAGAAGUUUCCAUAUGUUUCACCCUACGAGGAUUAUUCAGGUUUGGAUCCAAAUAGUGACAUAGCAGAAAAACGAGUGGUGGGUGUGCUUCAUGAAUUGCUUAGUUUGUUCGUCGAACAUGCUGCAGAAAGGAAGAGGCUUUUGUGUCUUAGGAAAUACUUGGGGUUGCCGCAAAAGGUUCACAAGGCAUUCGAGAGGCAUCCUCAUAUCUUCAAUUUGUCAUUGAUGAACAAAACUUGCACCGCAAUACUAAAAGAAGCUUACUGUGAUAGAGGGGCUAUCGAGGAACAUCCAUUAGCAAAAGUUAGAAAAAGGUACAUCAAAUUGAUGAAGGAGUCGGAGGGUAUACUGAAACGUAAAAGGUUUAACAACAGGCCAAUUGAUCAGGGUGACUCGAAUAUCAAGGACUUGGAUUGUACAGAUGAUGAGGAUAAGAAAUUUACAACUUAACUCUGCUCUUUAUGCUUGUGUCACUAUAAUCAGGUGCAGGAUUUAAAAGAAAUUAUAAACGAGAAGGAAAAGAAAAUUGAAAGAACUGUUCAAGCAGGAUUUGUAGGCAUUUGGAAUGAAAUGAAAAGACUGUUUGAUCUGUAUUGCUUCAGAGGUGGAUGUUUCUCUCAUUUAUGCUGCAGUUCUUUCAUCCAUUAAGGGCGAUUUCAGUAUGAAGGGGAUGGCCACAGUCAUAUGAAGGAAUAGUCAUACUAUUAAGUAUUACCAAUGGAGCCUCAAAGUCUUGAUCAACGGAACCUCCUGUGACUUUUUGGUGUAGUUCAAAACAGAGAAGCCUCCAUUGCGGACUGCAGAAACUAUGAUGGAUGCCUAGUGCGGGUUAUCUCUCCUAUGUGGUUUGCGAGCUAUUGCAUAGGAGCAGAGUUUUACCCUGUGCGCACCCAAAGGGUAGUGGUUGCGGGUUUCCCUUGUCAUCAAAAAAGAUAGAAAUUAUACACGAACUCUUCUGCAUCAUUGAAAGCAGCAGCACAGGGCUGGCAUGAUAAGGAAACUACUUAAAGAAUUCUUGAAAAUAAGCAUAGAUCAAUAUAUGUAAUGAAAUGUAGUGUCUUAUAGUUGCUAUGUUCCUGUUUGAACUGUGCAUUACAACCAAGAUGUAAAAUUUUGUGGACCUUUUGAAUUCCCUACAUGUUUAAGAGGAACAUAAAGUCCCCUUUUUCUGUACAAUGUUGGCACCUUGUUGAUGCAAUCAAUGAAUUUAUAGCAGUAAUAAAUAAAAUUGUGAUCAUUAUGAUUCUCAGUA